GGAAUGCUUGGAUAGCUCAGUUGGUUAGAGUGUGGUGCUGAUAACACCAAGGUUGCAGGUUCGAUAGCUGUGUAUUCCU
Podarcis lilfordi (Lilford's wall lizard) is the source of this 79-nucleotide non-coding RNA. The record is from the annotation of a GenBank genome assembly. Lineage: Eukaryota; Metazoa; Chordata; Lepidosauria; Squamata; Lacertidae.